Molecule: ribosomal RNA, 624 nt
Filed under: uncultured Bacteroidota bacterium
Lineage: Bacteria; Pseudomonadati; Bacteroidota
Description: bacterial SSU rRNA
Rfam family: Bacterial small subunit ribosomal RNA
Source: RNAcentral
UCUGGCAUCAGACAGCUGUUAAAGAUUUAUCGAUGUAAGCUGGGCAUGCGUCCAAUUAGUUAGUUGGCGAGGUAACGGCUCACCAAGACUAUGAUUGGUAGGGGAACUGAGAGGUCAAUCCCCCACACUGGCACUGAGAUACGGGCCAGACUCCUACGGGAGGCAGCAGUAGGGAAUAUUGGGCAAUGGACGCAAGUCUGACCCAGCCAUGCCGCGUGCAGGAAGAAGGCGUUAUGCGUUGUAAACUGCUUUUAUACAGGAAGAAACGACUCUUGCGAGAGGCAUUGACCGUACUGUAUGAAUAAGCACCGGCUAACUCCGUGCCAGCAGCCGCGGUAAUACGGAGGGUGCAAGCGUUGUCCGGGUUUAUUGGGUUUAAAGGGUGCGCAGGUGGUUUAUUAAGUCAGUGGUGAAAGACGGUCGCUCAACGAUUGCAGUGCCAUUGAGACUGGUAGACUUGAGUAAAGUAGAGGUGGGCGGAAUUGAUAGUGUAGCGGUGAAAUGCAUAGAUAUUAUCAAGGAACUCCAAUUGCGUAGGCAGCUCACUUGGCUUUUACUGACACUCAUGCACGAAAGUGUGGGUAUCAAACAGGAUUAGAUACCCUGGUAGUCCACACUGUAAAC